CUCUGCCCAAUACUUCUUAGGCCUCCCUCUACCUCGCCGACCGCCAACAAUCUCCAGCCUCUCGCAGCUCCUUACCGGGGCAUCCGGGCCCCUCAUCCGAACGUGUCCAAACCACCUCAGUCUCGCUUCUCGCAUCUUUUCAUCCACUGGGGCCACCCCUACCUUCUCUCUGAUAACUUCUUUCUUAAUCCUAUCUAGUCUGGUGUGCCCGCACAUCCACCUAAGCAUCCUCAUCUCCGCAACC
RNAcentral lists this long non-coding RNA (244 nucleotides) under Nicotiana benthamiana. RNAcentral describes it as "long non-coding RNA (NBEN_LNC027471)". Lineage: Eukaryota; Viridiplantae; Streptophyta; Magnoliopsida; Solanales; Solanaceae. The record is from RNAcentral.